RNAcentral lists this microRNA (20 nucleotides) under Rhipicephalus microplus (southern cattle tick). RNAcentral describes it as "rmi-miR-5327". The record is from miRBase by way of RNAcentral. Lineage: Eukaryota; Metazoa; Arthropoda; Arachnida; Ixodida; Ixodidae.
AAAUGGUUCGUGAGGCUGCC